This 237-nucleotide long non-coding RNA is filed under the name Panax ginseng (ginseng). Its description in RNAcentral is "long non-coding RNA (PGIN_LNC004625)". The record is from RNAcentral. Lineage: Eukaryota; Viridiplantae; Streptophyta; Magnoliopsida; Apiales; Araliaceae.
AACGUACUAUGACACCAAUAAUUAUUGAAGAUAUUUCCAGUUCUUCAGCCCCUUCAGUUAUCCAUACUAGAAGAGACACUGAAGUUCUCAAUAAUCCUUCAAUCAAAAAUGUUAAGUUAAAAGGCGUGCUUAAUCAAGGUCAAGCCAGUCACCCUUGUUAUGCUCCUAAAGAUUUUGCUGAAGAAGAAAGUUCUUCUUCUCCCACUUCUUCUGUGAUGCCCACUCAGUCAGAUUUUG